RNAcentral lists this ribosomal RNA (1464 nucleotides) under uncultured Planctomycetota bacterium. Its description in RNAcentral is "bacterial SSU rRNA". It matches the Rfam family "Bacterial small subunit ribosomal RNA". Lineage: Bacteria; Pseudomonadati; Planctomycetota. The record is from RNAcentral.
GGAUUAGGCAUGCAAGUCGAACGACGACCGGGGGCAACUCCGGUCGAGUGGCGAAAGGGGCAGUAAAGCAUGGGUAACCUGCCCCGGGGUGGGGUAUAGCCGUUCUAACGGACGGGUAAUCCCCCGCGAUGCAGCCGGGAGGCCUCUCCUGGCUGCCAAAGCUUUCGUGCCCCGGGAGGGGCCCAUGUGCUAUUAGCUAGUUGGCGGGGUAACGGCCCACCAAGGCGAAGAUGGCUAGCGGGUGUGCGAGCACGACCCGCGCCACUGGCACUGGGACACUGGCCAGACACCUACGGGUGGCUGCAGUCGAGGAUCUUCGGCAAUGGGCGCAAGCCUGACCGAGCGACGCCGCGUGUGCGAUGAAGGCCUUCGGGUUGUAAAGCACUGUCGAGGGGGAUGAAAGCCGCAAGGCUUGACAGAUCCCUGGAGGAAGCACGGGCUAAGUUCGUGCCAGCAGCCGCGGUAAGACGAACCGUGCAAACGUUGUUCGGAUUCACUGGGCUUAAAGGGCGCGUAGGCGGGUUUUCCAGUCGGGGGUGAAAUCGUUCGGCCCAACCGGACCAGGGCCUCCGAUACUGAAAAUCUCGAGGGGGGUAGGGGCGCGUGGAACUCAGGGUGGAGCGGUGAAAUGCGUAGAUAUCCUGAGGAACGCCGGUGGCGAAAGCGACGCGCUGGGCCCUUACUGACGCUGAGGCGCGAAAGCCAGGGGAGCAAACGGGAUUAGAUACCCCGGUAGUCCUGGCCCUAAACGAUGGGUACUAGGUUGUGGACUAGACAUGGGUUCACAGCCGAAGCAAAAGUGUUAAGUACCCCGCCUGGGGAGUAUGGUCGCAAGGCUGAAACUCAAAGGAAUUGACGGGGGCUCACACAAGCGGUGGAGCAUGUGGCUUAAUUCGAGGCUACGCGAAGAACCUUAUCCUGGGCUUGACAUGUGCGAAAGCGGCCGGAAGUAGCCCGCGGAAACGUGGGGCCAACGGUAUCCAGUCCGGAACCGGCUACAGGUGCUGCAUGGCUGUCGUCAGCUCGUGUCGUGAGAUGUCGGGUUAAGUCCCAUAACGAGCGAAACCCCUGUCCUUAGUUGCUAACGUCCAGUCGAGUACUCUAGGGAGACUGCCGGUGUUAAACCGGAGGAAGGUGGGGAUGACGUCAAGUCCUCAUGGCCUUUAUGCCCAGGGCUGCACACGUGCUACAAUGGCGUGUACAAAGGGAGGCCAACCCGCAAGGGGGAGCAAAUCCCAAAAAACACGCCCCAGUUCAGAUCGAAGGCUGCAACUCGCCUUCGUGAAGUUGGAAUCGCUAGUAAUCGCGGGUCAGCAACACCGCGGUGAAUGUGUUCCUGAGCCUUGUACACACCGCCCGUCAAGCCACGAAAGGGAGGGAUAUCCGAAGUCGCCGUGCCAACCGCAAGGGGGCAAGCGCCGACGAUAGACUUCCUGAUUGGGACUAAGUCGUAACAAGGUAACC